Molecule: ribosomal RNA, 564 nt
Filed under: uncultured Glomeromycotina
Lineage: Eukaryota; Fungi; Glomeromycota
Description: SSU rRNA
Rfam family: Eukaryotic small subunit ribosomal RNA
Source: RNAcentral
UUGGAGGGCAAGUCUGGUGCCAGCAGCCGCGGUAAUUCCAGCUCCAAUAGCGUAUAUUAAAGUUGUUGCAGUUAAAAAGCUCGUAGUUGAAUUUCGGGAUCAGAGUGUCGGUCGUGCCUCGGUACGCACUGGUAUUAUUGGUUCCUACCUUCUGAAGAACCGCGAUGUCAUUAAUUUGGUGUCGUGGGGAAUCAGGACUGUUACUUUGAAAAAAUUAGAGUGUUUAAAGCAGGCUUACGCUUGAAUACAUUAGCGUGGAAUAAUGAAAUAGGACGUUUGAUUCUAUUUUGUUGGUUUCUAGGAUUGACGUAACGAUUAAUAGGGAUAGUUGGGGGCAUUAGUAUUCAAUUGUCAGAGGUGAAAUUCUUGGAUUUAUUGAAGACUAACUACUGCGAAAGCAUUUGCCAAGGAUGUUUUCAUUAAUCAAGAACGAAAGUUAGGGGAUCGAAGACGACCAGAUACCGUCGUAGUCUUAACCAUAAACUAUGCCGACUAGGGAUCGGAUGAUGUUAAUUUUUUAAUGACUCAUUCGGCGCCUUACGGGAAACCAAAGUGUUUGGGUUC